Molecule: long non-coding RNA, 1939 nt
Organism: Peromyscus californicus insignis
Lineage: Eukaryota; Metazoa; Chordata; Mammalia; Rodentia; Cricetidae
Exons: 2
Source: RefSeq, a predicted model, not a curated record
UGCUGUUAGAGGGGUAUAUAAGGCCAUGUUUGUGUGAAUAAAGAGAGCUGCUUCCCUGAUGAACGGAGACUGGGUGUCCUGAGUGCUGUUUAACCUCGGCGUCCCUCGCCAGAUUUCGUGCUCCAGCUGCGCGGGUCGCAGCAAGUGGAGGGGUCGCAGCAAGUGGAGGUCUCACCGAGACCUGGAAAGAGGGGUGCUGAAAAGCCCAUUUGGCUCCCAGAAAGGUGUAUAUGCCUGGCAGAAGAGAUUGAUAAAAAUGCAUCUGUGGAUACUGUGGCUGAUGAUGAUGCUCAUGAUGAUGCCUCAGGGAGAAGCUGAGCCAUUAUGGAGUUUAGUAAGAAAUCCACCUGUGUUACUGCCUGUGAGUAUUGAUAGCCCUGUUUUUCCUGCUGUAUUUUCUUCUAAUUGGACAAUUGGUACUGCUGCCAGCAAUGUAAAACUCCAAGACAGCUGGCAACAAUAAUACCAAUGAUAUCUCCUUGAAUCUGAAAGGCAGCUUUCAUGAUUGCCUAGUCCUGAGUAGCAAUAGUACGGCUUUUAAUGGAACUGCUUUUUGGAAUGCAUCAUCUAGUUUUGAAGAAUCCAUCAAUAUUAAUUCUACACAUGCUUUCCCUAUUAUUUCCAUGCCCUGUGUAAGUGCUCCUUUCCCUUUUGUUGUUUGGAAUGGUGAUGUGGGAGGGGAGGGACUACUAAACUAUUCAGUUCUGAAUUGUAGCUUGAGUAAUUGCUGGAGUGCAAAUUGGUCCCAUGCAGUGAUUGUGAGAAUACCUGCAUUUGCAGUGAUGCCUCUGGAGAGUCCUUCUGAUCAGUCUCCGCUGCAAUUGAAGAGGACAAGAAGAGACUUGGGCAUUACUGCCGCAAUUGUUGCAGCUGUGGCUGCAUCUGCUGUUGCUGCUACAGCUGCUUGGCUUGCAUUAUCUCAGACUGUUCAACAGGCUGCCGUUAUCAACACAUUAUCUGAGAGGGUGGCUGGUGCCUUGGACAUUCAGCAAACAUUAAAUGGACAAUUACACUUUGGAAUUCUGAUGCUUAAUCAGCAAGCAGCACUGGUACAAGAACAAAUAGAUAUGUUGUGGAUACACCAACAUAUGUUAUGUGCUUAUGGAAUGUCAGAAGUUUGUAUAACCCCUCAUGCAGCUUUUAAUGCAUUGGCCAAGGUUGCAGAAUUGAAUGCUUGUUUGUGAGGGCCUUGGAAUGGAACAUUUUUGAACUAUACAAUUCAGUUAGCACACGCUAUUGUAAGGAUUAAUGAAACUAGAGUUGUUCCUGUAAAUAAGCAGACCUGGUGGUCAUUAAUGUCUAAAGCUACUGGGUAGAUUACUAAAUGGGCAGGGUCUGUUUCCCUCUUAUUAAUCUGUGCAGGCGGUAUGGGAAUUGGGUUAUUUCUGCUAUGCCAAUGGCAACGCCAGUCCACUCGACACCAACAGGUAACCAAGCAAGCCCUUCUGGCCAUGUCACCCUCUGAAUCUGCACAAGUAUGAUUACAAAUGUUGGACAGAUAGUACCCAGAGACAGGCAACUCCUGUAGUCCUCAUGCGACCUAAGGCAGGGGGCAUAAGGGCAGCCCCCUAUGACGGGUAAGUUUGGGGAUUGCAGCAGGUGACCUAAGGCAGGGGCUAUCUGAUCUUCCACAGGCUGUUCUAGCCAAUGUGUUCCUUUUGAAAAUAAAAAGGGAGGACAUGUCAGCAGCAGUAAGUUUGCUGCCUUAAUUUUAAAUGCCCUUUUUUGUCCUGUCCCAGUUAAGUUGUUUGUGUGAAAAUGUGCAGUUGGGUUCUUCAAAGUGCUGGGGAUCAGUUCCACCCUGUGGUUUUUCCUGUUUGGUAAACAGUGUCCGGCUUGCCUCCGGAUACAGAGUAACCAUUCCUUGACCCCUGCUGUUAGAGGGGUAUAUAAGCUCAUGUUGGUACGAAUAAAGAGAGCUGCUUCCCUGAUGAACGGA